This 717-nucleotide unclassified non-coding RNA is filed under the name Hevea brasiliensis (rubber tree). The record is from RNAcentral. Lineage: Eukaryota; Viridiplantae; Streptophyta; Magnoliopsida; Malpighiales; Euphorbiaceae.
AUCAAUGCUUGUUUUAAAUCCUGAGGGGAUUGUAAUAUAGGAUAUUUUUUCCUUUGGCAGGUGCAAGAAGGGAAGUAAAUGUGAGAUUGACCCAGGAUUCCAAAAGCAAAAAGCUUGAAGAGAGGACAAGCUAUAAGAGGGAAAAAGAAAUGCUCACAUGGUGUUUCUAUAUUUCUACUGUACUUAGUCGUGAUUGACAUUAUUCUUACAGGACAAAUGCAUUAUACAAGAUAAGUCCCUUCAUUCAUUUUGAUUGGCCACUGCCUUAUGCGAAUGAUAACUGCAUAAUAUUUAGGGACCCUUCCACUUGUAGAGCACUAAACAUUCGACACCAUCGCUAGCAGAGUCAAUGAUAUCUGUUGCGUCUCAAUCUUUUUGGGCCCUGACAAUCACUUGACACUUUUUGUGGUCAUUCACUCAGGUAAUGCACGUAUCUUUCCUAUUCUUUUGUUACUCAAUUAUAUUAAUCUUUUCAGUUCAUUUGUAAGUUGUGCUGAACAUGUGAUCACAAGACAAGGUUGUGGUCCGUGACCCUGUACAGAGUGAUCUGUUGUCUAAGCUUUGUUUUAAUACUUUAAAAGCUAUUCCUAGUUGGUGGACUGCAAUAUUUUAUUAGCCACAGACGUUUGCCAUUAGGGUGAGCAUAUAUGCUGUUCUGCUUUGACAAUUUGCUCUUGCCGUCCACUUCUUUGAUAUAUAUAACAUUUUGGACCUAGU